GUCAGGGUGGCCGAGUGGUCUAAGGCGCCAGACUCAAGGUGUUGCAUGCCUUCCAGUGAUGUGCUGGGUGUUCUGGUCUCUGUAUGGAGGCGUGGGUUCGAAUCCCACUUCUGACA
Molecule: transfer RNA, 116 nt
Filed under: Charadrius vociferus (killdeer)
Lineage: Eukaryota; Metazoa; Chordata; Aves; Charadriiformes; Charadriidae
Rfam family: tRNA
About the family: Transfer RNA (tRNA) molecules are approximately 80 nucleotides in length. Their secondary structure includes four short double-helical elements and three loops (D, anti-codon, and T loops). Further hydrogen bonds mediate the characteristic L-shaped molecular structure. tRNAs have two regions of fundamental functional importance: the anti-codon, which is responsible for specific mRNA codon recognition, and the 3' end, to which the tRNAs corresponding amino acid is attached (by aminoacyl-tRNA synthetases). tRNAs cope with the degeneracy of the genetic code in two manners: having more than one tRNA (with a specific anti-codon) for a particular amino acid; and 'wobble' base-pairing, i.e. permitting non-standard base-pairing at the 3rd anti-codon position.
Source: Rfam by way of RNAcentral